AUUGAACGCUGGCGGCAUGCUUUACACAUGCAAGUCGAACGGCAGCACGGGGGCGAACCCUCGGUGGCGAGUGGCGAACGGGUGAGUAACACAUCGGAACGUGUCCAGUUGUGGGGGAUAACCCAUCGAAAGGUGGGCUAAUACCGCAUGAGCUGGCAACAGGAAAGCGGGGGACCCGCAAGGGCCUUGUGCGAUUGGAGCGGCCGAUGUCCGAUUAGCUAGUUGGUGGGGAAAGGCCUACCAAGGCUUCGAUCGGUAGCUGGUCUGAGAGGAUGAUCAGCCACACUGGGACUGAGACACGGCCCAGACUCCUACGGGAGCAGCAGUGGGGAAUUUUGGACAAUGGGGGCAACCCUGAUCCAGCCAUGCCGCGUGAGUGAAGAAGGCCUGG
This 391-nucleotide ribosomal RNA is filed under the name uncultured bacterium. RNAcentral describes it as "bacterial SSU rRNA". It matches the Rfam family "Bacterial small subunit ribosomal RNA", at positions 29 to 419 of the family's 1533-position model. The record is from RNAcentral.